RNAcentral lists this long non-coding RNA (2278 nucleotides) under Triticum aestivum (bread wheat). RNAcentral's name for it is "long non-coding RNA (TAES_LNC003227)". Lineage: Eukaryota; Viridiplantae; Streptophyta; Magnoliopsida; Poales; Poaceae. The record is from RNAcentral.
ACUGCUCGAGCUCCUUGAGCGAUUCCUCUAUGCUGAAGUUAUCUCUUGCGGCCCUCUUGCACUCGACUCCAACUAGGUAGGUUUUCUCUUGAAAUAUCUGCAGCAAGCUUCCGAUUUCAGUCCUUGGACCACACCAUAGAUUCAAAUAACAAAUAGAGUUACUUUCUGGAAUGUAAGAAAACAGGGCCAUCUCCGGUGAAUUCGGUAGCUGCAUCUAAUUGUCUCAUCCUCGGUUUCUCACAAGCAUCAGCGAUUCUUAUCUGUGCGGGGGCAAUUCAUGAUCCUAGAGCAGCUAAGCAAUACGAAGCCGUCUACCUCUUUGCCGUUGAUGAGCUUGAGCCGGGCGCGCUCCGCCGCGGCAUCCUCUUCCUCCUGCUGCUGUCGUCGCCUGCUCUUCGGCUACUCAUGGGCCUCCGACGGGCCCACAAUAUCAGCCUCCCCAUCUCUUCCAUCUCGUUCACCGCCGUCUCCUAUCUCACCGACACCACUCUCAUCCUCGACCUCGGUCUCCGCUGGUGCGGGGGCUGGUGCCUCUAGCAACCGCUCGUCGAGGGCCUGGACCACCCCGCCGCGGUGGUGGCGUGGCUGGGACCAGCGGUAGGGGGCGUGACUCUGACAGCGUGGGAUCGAGGCAGCGGUGGAGGUGGAAGGGAGGGGGAGGGAGGAGGCGGUGAAGGACAAGGAGAAGCAAGCGGCUCUCAUGGCGUGACCUGACGAGACGACGCUUCUCUCUAGCUCGUUCCAACAGCCCAGUGGAUUGGGUGAGGAAGUUGCGUCCGGUGAUGACGUGGACAGUUCUCGGCCAUUGGAUUGGAGGCCGCGGGGAUGGUGUACCGUCAAGUUUGACCAAGUCUUGGAAAUGUGGCAAAAAUCAUCAUUCACUAAAGCUAGGUUGUGUUCCUCUGGUUUUCCUUGCCAUAGGUUAUGUCAAAGUUUUAGGCAAAAUUGUUUGCCAUGCUUGGUUUUCGGAUGGGGGCCGAGCGGACGAUGCUUGGUUUCGGAUGGGGGCGAGCGGAUGACCGUUGAUGGGUGAUUUUGGGUUCUCUCCGACGAGUUCGAGGACAAAGGCGAUCCCGAUGGUGAAGGUGGUUUGGUUCCUGUUCGUUCUCUCCCUCUCUUUGGGCCUACGACUACCACGUAGCGGAAUACUCAGCAAAGGAGGUUGGGGCGAUCCUACAAAUCUCGGCAUUCGAUCCGGCGCGGGAGGGGCAACGAUGAGAUGGCAUGCAAGGAUUUGAAGAGGCCGUGGUGGGCGACUUGGUGCGCAGGGUUGUGGCUCGGCGCUCUUCAAAGCCCCAGUGUGGACCUCUAUUGGUGGCCAGCCGUACGACCGUCACACUCAUCGAUUUUCUAGAUAGUUCAUGGACCAAGGUAGUGCCUUGGAAAGGAAGGAUAAAAUGCACCAUGUGGCAGCGUAUGUUAAUCUUCAAAGUGUUCGUAAUCUGAAUAGGGAUGCCUCCUUCCUUCCCCGAUUUGCAGCAUCACCAUUGUCGAAGUCGGAUGCAACUUUGGUGGAUGGACAUUGGUUGUCAAGUUCAAAUUUGCUCGCAUGUCGGACCCGGCUAGAUGAUGAUGGGCCAGAUGUGGCCCAUCAGGAUAUGCAUGCUGCCCAUGACUUUGUGACAGGAAUCAUGUGUGGGACGGUAUUGAUCAUUUUCUUCCCUACUGCACCAUGUGAUUUACGUUCAGCCUUUGUUGCUUGUAUGGAUAAAAUUGGGUUUAGGUCUCCGGCACGUGCAAAAUCUACAUGGGUGUGGCAAACUUCGGAUUCACGCCUUUUUGUCAAAGUCAUCAUGGCAGGGCGGGGCAUGGAGCUGGGUGGUGAUGGUCAUGAUCUUGAGAGUGCUCCUCCUCCCAUGGCAAGGCACCUCAUGCUAGUCCUGGUGGGCGUGCGCCGCUGCCCAGCAUGGUGGUUCCCACGGUGAUGGCGGACGAGGUUAUCGCAACGGUGGCCACAUCAACUCUUUUGGAGGUCAUGGUAAUCAAGGUAUGGGACAAAGUCGGGGCUCCUAUGAUCAAUCUUAUGACGAUUGAUGUCCCUACCAUGAUGAGCGACAAUAACAAGUUUUCGAGGAGGCCGCCAGGAUUAUGUCUUUGGUAACUGUACCUACAACAUAGGAUCCUCAAGCUCGUUUUUUGGCCAUGGUGCUUGUUGGAAAUAUGCCCUAGGGGCAAUAAUAAAAAAUUAUUUAUUUCUAUGUUUAUGACUAAUGUUUAUAUUCUAUGUUAAAAUUGCUAUGGUUCUUGAGUUAGCGAAAACCAAGAGGCUCAAAGGAAA